Molecule: long non-coding RNA, 2976 nt
Organism: Eurytemora carolleeae
Lineage: Eukaryota; Metazoa; Arthropoda; Copepoda; Calanoida; Temoridae
Exons: 7
Source: RefSeq, a predicted model, not a curated record
CACUCACAGAAGUGAUCUGAAACGGCACAAAAAGAGGAAACAUAAAAAUUGAGAAGUGUGUUGAGAAUUUGCACUGUAAACUUCAUUAUUCUCUUAUUGUUUUACCCAAGGUUCAAACACAAAUUAUUUAUCUUUCUAUUGAUUCAUUCUUAAAUAUUACUUGUUUUAGAUAAAAUGGCAGAGAAUAUGAAAAAAGAAUUGAUUAUGGAAUAAAUAGGGAUAAAAGAAGAAGAAGUUAGAGCAAAUAUGUACAUGGGAUGUGAAGGAAGAAGAUGUUAAGAUUGAAAAUAAAGAAUUUAAAGGCGAAAGUUUAUGUUCUUUUUAUUAUUUAUUAAAAAGUUUUUUAGUUUUUAUAUUUCAAUUCCUAGAUCAAACAGCGUUACAGGAUCUAAAUAUAUAAUAACUGUUUAAAUUUAAGUAAUACUGCUGGUAAAACAAGAAAUAAACUUGGAAGAGUUUGAGAUGAAGGAAAAAAAACCAGGGGUCAAUAUAAUUCCAUAAUUGAUUAUUUGUCCCAUCACAAGUUAUUUUUAGAAAAAAAUGAUUUUCGGUCCCAACACUUUCAUUUUCUGUCCCAACAGUUUCAUUUUUUGUACCAAAAGCAAAACAAAUAUUUUCAAUUCCACUAGUCAUUCCUUUCAUGACCUGGAUUUUUAUUUUAAGUUUAAUCCCAUUUAUUACAUUUUCGUCCCAAAAUUCUAUUUUCCAUCCCAAACCCUAAAAAAUUAUUUCAAAUUUCACUUGUCCUUUUCAUACAUGCUGGUUAUUAAUUUUAUUUUCUAUCCCAAUUAUUUCGUAAUUUGUUUCAAAAGUUCAUUUUCAAUCCUUAAGACUUCCAUUUUUUGUCCCUUAAAAUUCAUUUUAGUCCCAAAAUCCAGAAAAAAAUUUAAAUUCCACAAAAUGAUUUUCCGUCCCAUAUUUUUAUUUUCCAUCCCAAACUUUCAUUUUCUGUCCAAAAAGUCAAUUUUUUUUCAAAUUCCACAAGUUUGUUAUCACAGGGCCUCAAGGUUUUGGCCACACAGUUUUAUUUUUUGUCCCAAUAAUUUUAUUUUUUUCCCUAUUAUUUCAUUUUAUGUCCCAAUAAUUUCAUGUAUUUUGACAAAAUUUAAUUAUUUGUCCCAAAAUUUCAUUUUUCAUCCCAAACAGCCAUUUUGACCCGAUCCCAUUGGGAUUGGGUAUGGAAUUAUAUUGACCCCUGGAAAAACUGUUUCAACUAAGGAAGAAAUUCUUCCAGGUUCUACAAUAGAAGAUACUUGUACAUUUUAUGUACAGGGGGAAGACAUGAAGAUUGAAAGGAAGACGACUUGGUUACACAGGAGAAGUUGAAGAAGGACGCAAGAUAAAUCCUGGAGGACGCACAAUCCUUCUAUAUACAAUUAUUAAUGUCCAUUCUUUUUAUAUGAGAAUUUUUAAACAUUUUAAUUUCAAACCAAUUUAAUUUCCAUGCUUGGAAAUUUGAAUAAAUUUGAAUAUAAAACUUUUUUAUACUUAAUAUCUGAGUGUUUCAGAUAUUAUGCAUGGCGCGUUUAAGUACUGUGUCCAAGAAACUGCGGGCAAUGUUUGAUCCUUAGUAAACAUAGAUCUGAAGUUAUAGCAACUACUGACGAUCUACACCUCUACCUAUACGUCCUUGCAGUCUCUGUGUCAUUUUAGAGACUGAAGGAGCGUGUAGAGUGUGACCGGCUGAUUGAGCUCUCAGCUUUAAGUAUAUAGGUAUAUACAUAUACUUUAAAAUGCAUUCAUCUAACAUUUUUCACACCUUUCAGUUAAUAGAAAAAAGACUUUAAAACCUUUUCUCUAGAACCUGAAUUGCACGGAGACGAAUUUCCCUGCAGACCCUUCUAGCGAAGUCGUACUAAACUUCGCUCAACGGAUCCUGUUUAUUGUGAAUCCACUACAAAUCGCUGGGUGUGAGCGAUCCUGAUCUCUAUAGGUUGUCAUGCUACAAAAUGAUCCUAUAGACGUCGACUAUCAACCAUGAAGCAAGCUUUAAACCUGUGAACAUGACUAUCUCUCUUGUAACUGGAUAAUGUCCGUAAUUUAUCACCUGAUUAGAGGAUAAAUAAAUACAUAAAAUAUUUUGGAGUUAUCUUCUAUACCUCGAGUUAUAAAGAGGAGUUAUUAUACCACAGUACAAUCAAAAUCUUCAGCACGUCCAUGAGACACGUGCGACCCACGAAGUGAGAGAUAAUAGUCAUUUAAAGAUACACUUUGAAACCCUAUAAACCCUAAAGUCUGACAAGAAGAAACAUUUCUCUCUCUUAACCAAAGAGGCCCAAAAAAAGUGAAUUAGCAGAAAAAGAGUAUCCCUGCGGGAAAUGUGAAUAUGCACAAACCUGGAACACUGAAGAGAGUGAGACAUAUUGACAGUAUGCAUGAUGGAGUGAGAUAUCUCUGUAACUAGUGUGAUUACGCUGCUACAACAAAAGAUAGUCUUAAGAAGCAUAUCAAAUAUAUACAUGAAGGAGUGAGAUAUCCGUGUCAACAUUGUGAUUAGGCUGCUACUACAGUUGGAUGUCUAAAAAGACAUUUCAAAAAUAAUCAUGAAGGAGUGAAAUAUCCCUGUGACCAGUGUGAAUACGCUGCUACCUCAACAACAAACCUGAAAAAAAACAAUUGAAAAUAAACAUAUAGGGGUUAGAUAUCCUUGUGGCUUGUGUGAAUUCGCUGCUACCACAGUUAGUUUGAUGACACAUUUUUUAAAUAAACAUAAAGGCGUUACAUAUCCCUGUGCUCAGUGCAAAUAUGCUGCUACUACAGUAUUGAAACAUAUUGAAAAUAAACAUAAAGAAGUGAGAUAUUCAUGUGAUCAGUGUGAAUACGCUGCUACUACAGGAAGUAAUCUUAAGCAACAUAUUAAAAAUAUACUUAGUGAGUGAGAUGUUUCUUUAGGACUAUUGAACUUAUUCAUGCUAAGACUACAGUCUUUGAUCUGAAAGAGAAAAUAUUAUUUGUAAAAAGAUUUCAUGUUUUCUA